CUCAACUUCCCUGGUAAGAAAAUGAAAUUACAGAAGUACAGAAAUAGAACAAAAUGGGAGGAAGCUCAUAAAAAGAGAUGUUUUGCAAUGAGAAAAUCAAUGUCACGGAAAUUAUUUCCAAGCAUUGAUCUCGUGUACUUCAAUUUAUGUAUACUAUGAAUCCAUUUCUUGCAACCUAAGUUUGUCAAGCAAAUAAUUAAUUAACACUUCCCACAAUUGAUUGCAAAAAUCAAGAAUUUGUAAUGCUUCUCCCCUAAUAUUUCAAUUCCCAUAUCCCAUACUUUUCUAAAUCGGGAGAGACAGCAUCUCGUUGCUUCCAAUUGUGUCACUGACUGCAAUGUGAAACAUAACAUAAGGCUUUCCGUUUUGGUGAACUUGGAGGAGAUGCACUGCACAUCUAGGCCUCCACUAAUCGUAGAAGAUUUGAUAGAGAGGAAGACACCAUGUGAAUUUCAAAAGUGGUUUGAUGGUUCCGGAGAAACAAAAAUCAUCGGUGAGAAUCCGGAUUCUCUUUGCUCAAGAAAGUUGAUGCUUAAUGUCAAAACAAUCACUACCCAUUUGGAAACAAAUUCUAUAUUAUUGUUGUGUGGCUUGUGCUAGCUAUUUUAUUUAGUAAUCAAUUCACGGAUAUGUGUUUCCAUUAGUUGAAACCACCCUUUAUGAUAUGUGAACCAUGACGAUCCCGCUAAGUCAUAUCAUAGAUUAGAUGCACACCGAUCUAACCUGGACGAAACCAUCUGAUCAAAAAGAAGAAAAACCUAGCAUCAUUAAAAGGCCAGGAAAAGUUGUUUAGAAGGAGAUUAUGAUAGGAUUAUCCACACCUUCAUUGCUAAGCUUGCAAGGAAAGAUAGUCAUUGACUUUGACACAGUGGAGAACAUUAUAUAAGACCAAGUGCAUGUAGGAGGAUGAUUGGGAAUAAUUGUGUUUGCAAUAAACUAAUCCUCUGCCUAAUCAAACACUAACCCGAACGACAAAGAAAAUAAAAAGGGUAGGCAAUAAAUAAAUGAAGCUAAAUGGCACUAGUGCAUGUACCCCACCUCUCAUUUGUAAACUAGUGGAUAUAAAAGCAUGACUAACACUAUUGCUGAUUCUGAUUUAUGGGCGUCCACAUGUAGGUUGAUGGAGAGGGACACGUGGACCAAUGACAUGAGGGGCGGCUGGAAAAGUAGGGCUCGGUAGACCCCACCAAUGAUUUGGUAUGAUGGGGCAUUGAUUCUUUAGGGGGAGAGAGGAGGAUUGUGGAGCGUAGAAGUUGGCAAAUGAUGAAAAUUGGGAGAGGUGGUGUUGGAGAUAAGGUUUCAGAUGUGUUCCGUCCUUUGCGGCCACCCGACCAGUGGUAGUGUGAGGUUGUGCUCUUUGUUUGGCUUUUCUACGCCCCCUUUUCCAAGCCAACCCUCCGUGUCGUAGGGAAGCUACAUCUGACUUUAGUCUGCAAUUUACUUCACUGUAAUUAAUUAUGUUGUUUUGAUUUUAAUUUAAGUUAUCACUAUACAUAAUUAAUCAUUACUAUUAACAUCACUCUCUCUUCCUGUUUACAUACGACGGAGAGUCAGUAAGGGAAGUUGUUUUCUAUUUUGCACAUGAUGUCAAGAUAAUCUUGUACAGGAAGAGUAGAAUAAUGCAAAUCCUAGAUUUUUCAAUUUGAUUUUCAACCAUACUCUCCAACAACAAACCUGAAUGCCUUCGAUGCUCUAAAGAUAUAAAUAAUAAUAAUUUACGACAUGCUGCGUGCACAUACCAAGUAUUGCAUUUGUGAAGAGUUCAAUUAAUUUAAGUUACAAUUAAUAUUAUAAUAUCAUGUGUGCGUAUGGAGAAAAGGAUGACUAAAUAAAUGGUUCUUUCCAAAACUUUAUCUUAGCUUGAAGCUGAGAACUCAAUUUUGUAUCCAACCAAGUUGAGCUUUAAUAAUUAAUCUAGUUUUUGGGCUUGGAUUGGCUUGGCUUGUUACGAUUGGCACUUAAGAAAUAACAUUUUUGGUAUAAAUAAAUUCAAGCCAAGUGGCAAAAAAAGUGUAUGUCAAUUCCUUGUUUCUUUAUUCGAAAGUUGAGAGAAUCGAUCAAUAGUUGGAAAACAACCGCCGAGCCUACGCAAUCAGACACAUUUCCCAUAUGACUACCCAACUUGUCCUAAAAAAUAUGCGCUAGUCAUGACUCAAAAUUUGAAACUGCGCAUUCCAAAAGAAAAUAAAAAUGGUUAAAGUAGUUGGGGGGGAUUUUGUUGAAUACAGUUGAGGCUUCAUAGAUUAAGGUGUACUCAAAACUUAAUAAUAAUAAUUGGGAUGUCUUACAUGUAACUUUGAGGAGGCAUAGGACAAGUUGGCAGUGGGACAAGAAGAGUCUAGUCAGAGUACCAUAUCCACUUUGAUUUGAUGAGAUGAGAGAAUCAGCAAGGCACCGACUUCCCAAAAGCAAACUCUUUAGCUUACCCCACCCAGAUUGUAUUCUCUCUUACUUGUGUGGGACUGAACUUUCAGACACAGCAUCAUGCUUGUGCUUGAAAUAUUAGAGUAGGAGAUUGAGAGGAGGAUAGAGAGUGACCUAUGUCACCCACUCAACCCCCCACAAAGGUGACUGAUUUUCUGUCACAUUUACAAAGUCUACAAACAUUUAAAAAUAAUAUUUAUUAAUUAUAGGGGGAAUAUGGCAAUUGGCAAAGCUAUAUAUAUAGAUGUAUAUGUGACACGACUUGUUGGUUGGGCUGUAGAUGUAAACAGUUAGAAGCCCUGCAGGUCGGCUACCUUGCGCCUUAAAGAUAUGACAGGAAUUGGGCGUAGGUCCAUCUUUGAGACUGGUAGGAGUGGGAUGGAACACCCAACACAUAUGGGUUGUUUGAAGCAACAUGCCUUGGCUUCUAUGUGCAUGUGCUUCUGCAUUUCACUCUCAUGUGCAUUUGGUGACCCACACUCUCAACAUAAUUGAAGACAUGUUAAGGCAUGACCGCAUGGGAGCUUAGAUUUCAAGCGGCUGCUUUUGGUUUUUUUUGAAGGUUUUUUGGUAGGGGAUGUACCGUGGGAUUGAGAUGGGGUUGGCUUGGAUACGCACAAUUAAUAAUAUCCAGGUGACACCUGUACUUCUGUGGGCUAAAGCCCAACCCAGGUGACACUGACGAGACCAAGAGGGCCCAAUAAGAACUUGGUAUUAUUCAGCUCAAGCUAACCCAGGCCAUCAUGACUAUCAAAAUCUGGCUUCUCUAUUGUUUUCAUUGAAAUUGGAAUUGGACUGCCGCGAAUUCUCACUCUUCUUUUCUUUUGCCAAAUUUCAGCGAUGGUUCGUUGAAUCCAGCCUUUUAAUAAGUAUAUGAUCCUUAGCCAAGUCCAACAAACUGAAGGUCCAAAGAUGAGAGGCCCAAAACUUGAGAUUGGGCUUGGAGGAGUGACCCAGGCCAGCCCAUCGUGAAUUAUUUAUUACCCAUUCUGGGUGCUGCCGUCCUUUUCUGGUCUCCUAUUGUGGAAGACAAAUGGAUAAAGCCACUGACCAAUGUUGACCGUAAUCAAUGAAGAGAUGCGCCGGUCAUACACGCUCAGAAAAUUUCUGCAUCGAACAUUAUCAAAAUUUUCAAUUGGAUUGGCUUACCAUUGACAGUGCGCCACGUCAUAACUUCUAGAAGCCGACUCCGUCGUUGGCGUUGAAUGGAACAGAAGUACUGGCCACCGUUUCAACGAUGCAUCGUGAGUGAUGCACUACAAUGUACCAUAACAAGACUAAAUAAAAAAUACUCAAAACCGCGUGGACGCGGAGGGCUAUAAUAAGAUUGGCCCCGGUCAUCGUCAAGAAUUACCCUAAAAAAUUGAAGAAGAAAUUGAGAAGGAAGAGGAAGAUGUGCUACGAGGUGAAGUGCUCAACUUGUGGGAAGACCACAUGGGGUGGGUGCGGAAGGCAUGUUCCCUCCGUCCAUAAACGAGUCCCGGAAGGCGAACACUGUCUCUGCCGUGAUUGGCCAGGUGUCAAACUCGGCGAUCAGUCCAGCAGCGCCUCCACCGCCGCUGAUUCAGAAACCGCUUCCGUUUGUGCUAUUCUCUGAUCAUCAAUCUCCUUUCCUUGCUUCUUAUGUUUUCUCGGUCCAUGUUUGGGUUGUAGGUUCUGUAUAUGUUUCUGCUGCCUUUAAAUAAGAAUGAGGGUAAUGGAUUAAUGAUUCUCGCUUCUACAUAAGUCUUUUGGUACGCCUUGAUUGAUGCGGUUGGUAAUGGAUAGAGAUCUCUUUGGCAAAAACAAAAUCUUCAGCAAGGAUUGCAAUAUAUAAACAGGGGUUUAAACUUCAUCUCUUAAUACCGCUUAAAACUCACCAACCCACAUCUUUCAAAGGUCAACUUUACAUUAACACAAGUUUUUGAUUCCUAGCAAUCCUAAAACAUAAAGUUAAGGCUCUCCUCAAUUUUCAUAUCAGGGGUCCUAGCUGUUUCUUAGGUUAUUACUAAAAUUUCUGUUAUGCAUUAUAAAAAUUCCCAAAAAGAAUAAAAGGUUUUUACUGAUCUUUUAUGCUUAUGUAAGGUCAAAUGAAAAGAUUUGACUGAUUCGUAACUAAGAGUUUUAAAAAUAUGUUCGAAUUUGGCCAGGUCAAAACCUAGAUGACACAACAUAUGGCUAAUUGCAUUCGGGACCAAGGCCCAAAGUUAAAACUGAAGCCCGUCCCAAUUUGUGGCUAGCACGUUACUAAAAGCUUAUUACACCUCUCAUUUUGAGAGUCACCAUGAGAGGUAGGCCGGUAGGCAACCUUACAGAAAUGGCAGCACCCACUUUUGGUGUGACCCGGAUGGUCAUAAGACUCAUAGGCCAACCCCAAUUGCAAAAAUGCCCACCUUCUGUGUCUUUUUUUUCAUAAAAACAUAACAUGUUUAAGGUUGGGUAAUAUUAGGAAGCGUGACAGUUCCAUCCCAACUCAAGAUUUGGUUUGGGAUUAGGUCCCCAUCUUCGCUACUAGUAACCAAAAUAUUAGCAAGCCUACCUGUCCACUUCAUCCCAAUUUUUUUUAUAAAAAAUAAAAAUUAAGAAAUUAAAAAAAAAAAAUCGUCUUCCUUCUCUUCAAUUUUAUUGUUCUUCUUAUAAAAGAAUAAAUUUAAAAACAUAUUAUCUUUUAGUUUGCGAGUGAAAAAUGUAUUUCUCUUAGUUAUAUUUUAUAAUAAUAAUAAUAAUAAAUAAAUAAAUUGAACUUGGCUUAUCAUUAAUUUUACAAAAUUGAUGAUGUUACUUGACCACCAGAUUUGUCAUGACUCAGAUGAUAAGUGGCAAUUUCUAAAAAGAGACAUUACUAGGAGAACACUUAGAUCGAAGUUAAAUGGUAUGAGAGUGAGAGAAAAACUAUACAGUGCUGUAUUCAUUGUUGAUAACUUUAUUGCACACUUAGUUUUGCAAUAUUAGUACAAUUGAGAUAUUUUUUUAAAGGGUUUUGAGAUAACUACAACAUGAACCCAUUCAAUGUGUUACUUCAAUGCUUUCUUUCCCUUUCAGUGCAAUAAAUGGGUGAAAAAGAUAAAAUGUUACUAUCAAAAUAAUUUCAAUUUCCAACCGUCAAUCCUUUGCAGAAAAAUCAAGCCCCGUAAUGUUCAUAUUGGAUGAUUACAUGAGCAAUGACUCAUUUCCUCAUCUCAUUUGGGAAAAAGAACAGAGGCUAAAAAUGACUCGGGUUAAAUUUUUCAGUGCCGGAUUGACUUGUAGGGAGAUAGUGGAAGCAUUAACUAAAGUCCACGAGGUUGCCCAUACAUAAGUAAUAUGACAUCGAUCUCAAGAGCACUUCCUCACUGCCCCUGUGCCACAUCUUCGGUAGACCCAAAGAAAAAACGUAAACUCUCAUGAACAGCCAAAGAUCCACAAAUAUCACUUUCCUAUUUCCCGUCUUCAAGUUUCUUUGCUCUGCGGUUUCUGUCUUGGUGUCUCAUACCAAGUUUCCAACGCCUCCCGUGUCAAAAACAUGCAGGGACGACAAGCAAAACCAGUACCGCGUCCGGCACGCAACCAACCGGUCUAUAACAAUUAUUGAUGCGUCAUUAUUUUUGGAUGUGAUGUCCACCCACUUCCUAAUGGCAAUCGACCGUUGCCAGUAAGAGCCAGAAAUGCAAUAAUGCAGACUUAUCUUUACCAAGGAGGGUGAAAAUGAUGCAUUUCAACGUCAUUAUAACUUUGCAAAUCGGUGCUGUUUGGGAAUUAUACGGGGAAGCCACCCAAGUCAUUCGUAAUUUCGUUCCAUUUGAAUCAGUAAUCUUCAAAAACCAAAAAUUGGUUUCCAAUUUCUCGUAUUUUCCACAAUACCAGCCCAAAACUUACUUUUCCCCUUUCAUUUACCCUACUUUUUGCGGCAUCAGUCUACCAUCUAUCAACUUGAUUUGACCCAUCAAUCCAGUAAACUCCCCUGCUUUAUGGAAAAAGAAAAAGAAAGGCCUGAUUUACCGUAGUAUAGCCGACAAAAAUAGAACACUUCCUAUUUAGGUUGUAAUUUCAGAAAACAGUAGAUAUCUUUCUCGAAAGCAUCCUUUUCCACCUGCUAGUAUGGUAUAUUUCUGGCGCUAAGCCUCUAUUUUCUGCCAUGUCAAUGGCUGAAAAAAGAAAAUAUAUAUCCGUAGGUUUGAGACCAGAAAACCUCCUAAAAAUUUGUGAACAAGAAUGGGAACGAUGGAUGGUGGGACUUUGGAGUGAGAUAAGAAAAGGUGGUGAAAGAGGAAUGAAGGAUGGGCAUGGCUGUCCAAAUCCUUUUCAGUGCUGCAAUCACACGGUUGGAUUCCUUAUUGGCUGGUCUCAAUCGGCCGAGACUCCAGAGGGACACUACAAGCCCACCUAUGGGCAAACAUGAUUGAUGAAAAGUUGAAAGCUGCCUUUCCUCUCUGCCGGACCUUCCAACGGUUUUCAAAAUUAAUUUUCUGGUUUAUGGAAAAAAAAACUAAAUUAACAGAAAAUUAAAAAAAAAAUGAUAUUCAUUGAAAUAGAAAUCAUAUUCUUAAAAUAUCUUUUAAUUAUUUUUAAAUGUUUAAAUAAAAUAUAUAAAAUAUUAUACAUAAAAGUUUUUUUAAAAAAACACAUUUAAAAAUAUAGAAAACUAUUUUUAUUUUACAAAAUAUCCAAAAAAAAAAAAAGUUUUGAAAAAAUGUACUAAAAAUAGAGUCAUAAAUUUUAAAUAGGUAUAGGAUGGUUCCCAUAAAAAGCCUUUUUUCCCACUCCAUGGUGAGAUUAUUUAAUUAUAUUUUAACUUUUUUUUAAAUAAUAAUAAAUUUAAAGCUAAUUUUAACUUUUUUUAUGGUAAGAUAAAAUAUGAUAAAUUUGACAUUUUUCUUCUUUUAAUAAUUUUUUGAAACCAAAUAUAGUAUAAAGAAACUCUUUCACAAAUGUGAGGUCUUUCUAUGUUUAAUUUGUGUGAUCUUUUUUUUAUUUGAGGUGUGUUUAGCUUUAUAUUCUAAAUUUUUACAAUGUGUACUCCAGUCACUCCUCUAAAGCUUUAUAUUCUAAAUUUUAUUGUAAAAAAAUUUCAAUCUUAUCUCAAAUAUUCCUCUCUAUGCAAGGUGAGUGUUUUUUAUUCUAAGAAGUUUAAGGGAAAAUGCCAAUAAAAUAAAAUAAAGAAAAAAAUAAAUUUAAAGUUAAUAAAUUAUUUUUAUAUCAUAAUUUGAUAUUAUAAUUUAAAUAUUAUUGUAAAAAAAAUUCAAUCUUAUCUUAAAUUUAAAGUUAGUUUAAGGGUUGCUUGCUUAAGUUAAAAAUAAUUAAUUAAUUAAUACUUGAGAUUAUUAAUCACUAAAUACUAUUAUUUGGAACACUGUUCAAUAUUAUUGAGAUUUAAGUUAAAUUAAAUAUCACUUUUUUAAUUAAAAGAUUGAUAAAAAAAAAAAAAUGGAAACAGAUUUUUAUGAGAAUUGAACAGAAAUAUUUUCAAAAUUGUUGAAGAAACUUAAUACUAAGGAAAAAGAUUGCGUAUGUACAAAGAUGUGCUAUCUAUAUUUUAUAAAAAAAAAUGAUAAAAUAUCAUGUUUUAAUCUUCCUAUUUUUUAAGUAAAAGAAAAUUAAAUUCGAUAUUUAUACUAAAAAUUUUAAUUUUAUUAAAAAUUAUUAAAUUAAUUAACAAUAGCAAAAGAUCCGGAUGAUAGUAUAGGAUUUUUAGGAGGAAAAUUUUCAAAUUUGUUACAUAGAAAGUGUAGGAAUCCAAAAAAAUAUGACUUCCCUCUUGUCUCUCUUCGACUAUUACACGUAACUGUAAUUUUUGCAACGGACCGACAGCUCAACCCGCAAUGGCUCCAGCAAUGGUAAAAAAGACAAAUAAACCUCAUCUUCAAAUUCCCUGCCAUAAGCAACGCUGCCAAUUAGGGAAAAAUCCGUUGAUUUUCCAGGGCAUGGAAAACAUGUACGUUAUUUAUUUAUUGGAUUGCCGACGAUUCUCUCUGCGACUGAGAAUUUCAGACGUGGCGUUGGGCGACACCUCAUGGGUUAGAUGUGCAUCGCCACCUAUUCUAUCCAUUAAGGUUAAUAUAAUAAGAACGCUUGGAUUCCCACGUCCGUUCUGGAUGUGUUCGCCAAUUCAUACAAUACGAAACCGCCGCUUCGCUCCCUACACUCCCUCUCUCUCGACUCUGCGUCCUCUCUGUACCACACACACUUACGUCCACCUCGCAUUCUUCUUUUUCUUUUCUGCCUAAAUAUUACAUACAUACUCUGAGAUAUUGCUUCCUCUCAUCGGUACCUCACUCCUUGUAACCGAAAUUAAUUUGGAGUCUUGGGGAGAAUCACUGAAUCUGAAUUUUCAGAAUACCCAGUAGGAGCAACCAUGAUCAGUAGGAGGGCCUGCUUUCGCAAUUUGAUCCAAUCUCUAAGAACGGGUUCCACUGCAUCUAAGGUUAUCUUCCGCUCGUCAUUUUUUUUUUUUUUUAAUUAUGAUUCCAAGGACCAUUUCCUGAUUUCGAUAUACUCUACUUACUCUGAACCUUUUAUAGAGUUGAAAAUUUUCCUCUGGUUUUUAUCAUUUCAUACGACUUGUAAGUUUGUCUGCUGAACUUGUGGGGUUUCAAUUGUCUGGGUUUUUCUCGCAGGUUUGGUAUUGUAUGUGUCUUUUGGUGCUUUCUUUUAACGUAUAGUUCUUGCUUAACAUGUUGCUUUGUAGAUGAUUUCUAAUCUCUGUAUCAAUGUCCUUUCUUUUCUGUGCUUGUCUUUUAUAUUUGUUAUUGUUUUUGUUUUAACCACGGAGAUGACUAAUUUAGGGAGAGAUUAAUCCGAUUGAAUUAGUUUCAGCCCUGGAAAUAGGAAUCUGACGGUUCUGAAUUCAGCCUUUUGAAUGGUACGCAUAGCUUGGAUCAAAUCCGUAGCGGGUGGAACAACCUUGUAGAUGAUUGAUCCAACACUUUUAAAUGGUUAUUUUAUUUAAAUUCCAGUUAAAUUGGAGGCCUCAGUGGAUGUGACUAUUAAAUAGAAGAUGAUCCACAGAUUUAUUAGUAUUUUGAUUAUUCAUUGAGAACCAAUAUUUUCCGGCAGAGACAUUCAAAAAUGUUGACUGGGUUUCUUGUGUAAAAUGACAGCUGCAGUUGUAUCAAUAAAUAUUGAAAUCACGCGCCUUUGUUUUGCUUAUAGGCUACAAUCCAUUUCCCAUGUUCCUCAAUGAUGUGUCGUUGAUCAAUUGUAUACAUGAUAGAGAUCAAGAUGAAAACAGUACAAACUUAUCUAAUUUUCGUGCAUAUUUGCAGCUUAGAUCUUCCAAUUGCUAUACGUCAAGGACUGCACCUUCCUUGCAACCAGUGGUCGAGCUCUCUCCUGAUAGGUAACUGCGCAAAAUGAGGCAAUUCGAUACUAAUUACUUGGUUGCUUCCCUGCAAAUGUGUUCUACCGAAUAGUGAAUCCCACUGUUACACAACCAGAAUUUCUUAGACUGGUUAAUUUUCACCUCUUUGAUGCUCAAGCCCCCUCAAUUAUAAAUCUAUACUGUUGGGGUGUCCAUAUUUCAGGCAGUUUUUCAGGUUUUGUGUUAAUGCCCAACACCAAUUAUCUGCAUGAGAUUAUGUAACAUUGUUCAUUUAAUGUAAUUAUAAUUGUUGUACUGCUAGUGAUGAUGAGUACGCUGAUGUGGACUGGGACAACCUGGGAUUUUCUCUAAGACCCACCGAUUACAUGUACAUAACAAAAUGCUCCGGGGGUGAUAGUUUUGAAGAAGGCCAUCUUAGUCGCUAUGGAAAUAUAGAGUUGAGCCCUUCUGCUGGUGUGUUAAAUUAUGGACAGGUAACUAGAUUGUAUUCUUAAUUACUUGUGCUAAAGCAAACAGCAUAUUUGAUGUUGUAUCUUUUAACUACCUUCAGGGUUCUAAUGUAAAGUUGGUGGUUUUGAAAUCUGAACAGGGGCUGUUUGAAGGCACCAAAGCAUAUAGGAGAGAAAAUGGGCGCCUCUGCCUCUUCCGCCCUGAUCAGAAUGCCAUCCGUAUGCAGGCUGGUGCAGAAAGAAUGUGCAUGCCUUCCCCAUCCAUCCAUCAAUUUGUAGAAGCUGUCAAGCAAACUGCAUUCGCUAACAAGCGCUGGGUAAUUGUCUUACCGUACUUGUUCUACAUCUAUGUUGCAUUAGAAGCUCUAUGUUUUUAUUUAAUAAACAUGUCUGUCCUUCUAGUUUAUAAAUUUUUUGUUUUGAUGUGAAGCAGAUUCCUCCUCCAGGAAAAGGGUCACUGUAUAUUAGGCCUUUGCUCAUGGGGAGUGGACCCGUAUUGGGUUUAGGCCCAGCACCUGAAUGCACAUUCCUCAUAUAUGCUUCCCCUGUUGGCAACUAUUUCAAGGUGGGGUUUCUUAUUUUAUCAAAGCCUGGUUUUGCUUCAGCUAAGGCAAGAAGAAUUUAUGUGCUCUGUUGAUUCAUUUUGCAGGAGGGUUUGGCACCCUUAAACCUAUUUAUUGACGAUGAGUAUCAUCGUGCAACACGUGGAGGGGCUGGAGGGGUGAAAACCAUUACCAAUUAUUCUCCUGUAAGUGAAUCAGUGUCUCAUUUAGUUGUAAAAUAAGCUCAUUGCUUUCAACUCCUUGAAUGCCACAAAAUAUGCUCAUUUUCAAAAAAUGACUUGUGUCUAAAGUGUUAGGUUGUAACUAUGGAAUGUAAAUUUACAUUGUUUCUUGCUGCCAAAUUAUUGAUGCCCCCCUUGAAACUAUGUUAUCUAUUAUAUCACAUCCUUUCUCGUCUUGUGUAGGUUUUGAAAGCACUAACUAGAGCAAAGAGCAGAGGGUUCUCUGAUGUGCUAUACCUUGAUUCAGUGUAUAAGAAAAACAUCGAGGAGGUCUCUUCUUGUAACGUCUUCAUUGUGAAGGUACUGUUGAAAUUACAUUUCUCGUUAAUUUAAUUAUUCUCACCUGGUACCUAAUUGUUAUCUUCACUGGAUGUGACUCUAACGAAGAAGUGAAAACAUAAGUGAUUAGCAGCUUAGAUUGUUCAAAACAACUUGGACAGAGAAUUUUGAAAUUGGAUAGACAUAGAGGCAGAGCUUCUUAGAGUGCACUUUUCCACCAUUUCAGGAUAAUGUUAUUUCAACUCCGGCCACAGGAGGAACCAUUCUUGAAGGAGUGACUCGAAAAAGCAUCGUCGACAUUGCACUUGAUCACGGUUACCAGGUAAAUGUCCAGUAACUUGGUAAAAACAAUAAGCUAAUUUCUGUACUUAUAUGUUCGGAUAAUGUCCCAAAUGGGUUAGGUUAAGGAGCAAUGUAUUCCAGUGGAGGAAGUGAUGGAAGCCGAUGAAGUUUUCUGCACCGGAACCGCUGUUGGUGUAGCUGCGGUGGGAAGCAUUACAUAUCAGGGUAAAAGGUAAAUAGUCAUACCUAAGAUCACAAAGAACCUCUGUAAAGGGGAAAUAAUUAAGUUCAUACUAGUGUUGCCUGCCACUAAUUUUCUUUUGUUGAUGAAUUAAAUAUGAAUACGCAGGGUGGAAUACAAAAUGGGUGAUCAGUGUGUGAGUCAGGAACUGUUCUCAACGUAUAUGGGGAUUCAAAAAGGUGAUAUCGAGGACAAGAAAGGCUGGAUUCUGGAGAUUGAUUAAGCUUUAUAGCCACCUCAUCUACAGCACUUGUACAUGGUACUGCUAAGAGCAUGGUAUUCCUAAUAAAAUUAAUGUUCACGUCAAAGGCAUCGAUAUCUAAACUGGUUUCCAUCUUUAACCAAACAUCACUUUUUGAAUCCUUAUCCUCCACGACCAUAUCGCAAUCAACUUUAGUUUCCUUUCCCCCUUGAUCCUAUCACUCAUCCUUAUCUUCCCCACUCACUCUUUCCACAUUUUUAUUGCCAUCGAUUUUGAAGGAGUAAAAAAAUUAAAGACUAUUUUCGGAAUUAGCUUUCAUUUUUUUUUUUUAACAUAACUUUAAAAAUAUUUUAAAAUUUUAAUAAAAAUUAAAAUAAUUAAAGUUAUAUCUCUAAUUAAUUUUUUUGGGCCUUUAUUUUUAUUUUAUACUAUUGUAAAAACAGUAAAUUUAACUUAAUUAAAAUGACAAUAUUUAUUUUAAAAAUAAAAAUAAAACAUGAAAAGUUGAAUUUUAGAUAAUUUAAUGAUCCGUUUGAUUAAAAUGUGACAUUUAUAUUACAACAUAGAAAUUCUUUAAAGUUUUAAUACCCUCGUGUGGACCCCGCAUUUCGGCUCAUGCGUUUCCCACUCGAAUGGCGAGCUCGAUUUUAUUUCGAAAAAUUGAUUUUUAUUUGAUUAAGAAAAUUGACUUGGAGUCGCCACUUAUUUUUGUUUUAUUUUUAAAAGGGUAAACAAAAUAAGAAAGAAAAACCCUAAGUGUGACUCCUUACUUUGGAAAAGAUGGUCUGUGAAAAACCGGAUCGGGUUCGGGGGUCAGGUUACUUAUCGGGAAGGUAUGGUAACGACCGUAGCACCCCUCUAAGUCCCUAAAAACAGGUCUCUACUAAUAAAAUGAAGCUGACGUGGCAAUCGAAUAAGAAAGUCAAUGGAUACUCACAUCAAUCAUGCAUAUAUGAGAAUCAGAAUAUGUAUAGUGAAUGAUCAGAAUGAGUGAAUGCAUACCUGGGCAGCAAGCAGCAACGCGCUAUCAAGAGACAGGAUUAGCGAAUGACGAAUAGAUAAGAUUAUGCGCAUGCCAAGGAACAAAAAUAAAUCAAACAAACAUGGUAAAUAAAUCAAUCAAUCAAUCAGUCACUCAUAAAAUCACAUAUGUGGGGCCCCCACCAAAGCUCGAUUGAUUUUUCCUGAAUUAAUCUCGCGAAUCCCAUUAUUUCAAAAUUAUGAAGAUUCAUCAUUCUUGCUUGUGUAAAAAUCAAAAGAAAUGGAAUAUUAUUUAAAAAUCGGAGUGGAAUUAAAGCUAUUUGAGAGAAAAUUGGAUGUUUGAGAUUUAUUUGGAAAUUAGAGUCUUGAAAAUUAUUUGAAGAUUGGAGUCUUGAAAAUUAAAUUUAAGAAUUGGAAUUUCGGAUAUUAAAUUUGAAAGAAACUAGAAUUUUGGAAAUCGGAAAUUGAAUUCAGAAAUUAGAAUUUUGAAGAAUUGUUUAAAAGGGCAUUUCAAAAUAAAUAACUAAAAUAAUAAUAAUUAAAUAGAUUAAUGUGAGUAUUGGAAUUUUGGAAUUAUAACUUAAAAUCGAAAGUCGGAAAUUUUAAUGAAUUGUUUAAAAUGGAAUUUUAGAAUAAGUAAAUAACAUAAUAAUAAUUAAAUGAAUUAACGUGAAUAGUGAAAUUUUCAGAAAUAGAAAUUUAAUUCAGAGAUCGAAAGUUUUAAAUGAAUUGUUUAAAAUAGAAUUUUAGAAUAAAUAAAUAACAUAAGAAUAAUUAAAUAAAUCAAUGUGAAUAUUGGAAUUUUCAAAAAAUAGAAAUUUAAUUCGGUAAACGGAAAUUUUAAUGAAUAGAUUAGUUUUAAAAUAAAUGAAUAAAGUAUUAGUGAUUAAAUAAAUUAAAGUGAGUAUGAGAACUUUAGGAAAUUGGAAUCGAAUUCUAAAUGUCGGAAUUUUGAAGUAUUAUUUAAAGGUUGAAUUUUUAUAAAUUGGGCUUGGAAAUUGGAAGUUAGAAAGUUUGAAUUAAUAAUAAUAAUAAGAAUAAGAUUUUUGAAAGUUGAGGUAAUAAUAACAAUAAUGAUGAGAUUUUUGAAAGCUUGAAUUAAUGAUGAUAAUAAUAAUAAAUAAAUUUUGAAAGUUUGAAUUAAUACUAAUGAUGAUAAAAAGAUUUUGAAGGUUGAAUUAGUAAUAAUCAUAGGAUUUUAAAAGUUUGGAUUAAUGAUAGUAAUAAUAAUGAUAAGUGGAUUUUGAGAGUUGAGUUAAUAAUAAUUAUAAUAGUAAUUAAUGAUAAUAAUAAUAAUAAUUAUAAAUGUUGGAAGUUUGAGUUAAUACUAAUAAUGAUAAAAAGAUUUUGAAGGUUGAAUUAAUAACAAUCAUAGGAUUCUAAAAGUUCGGAUUAAUGAUAGUAAUAAUAAUGAUAAGUAGAUUUUGAGAGUUGAGUUAGUAAUAAUUAUAACAAUAAUUAAUGAUAAUAACAAUAAUAAUGAUAAUAAUGAUUAAUGAUAACAAUAAUAAAUAUAAUGAUAACAAUGAUUAAUAAUAAUGGCAACAAUUAUAAUGACAAUAAUAAUAAUAAUAAUAAUGAUAGCAAUGACAAUAAUAAUUAAUGGUAAUAAUAAUAAUAAUUAUAAUGAUAAUAAUGAUUAAUAAUAAUAAUAAUAAAUAUAAUGAUAACAAUGAUUAAUAAUAAUGGUAACAAUUAUAAUGGCAAUAAUAAUAAUAAUAAUAAUAAUAAUAACAAUAAUAAUAAUUAUAAUGAUAAUAAUGAUUAAUAAUAAUAGUAAUGAAUAUAAUGAUAACAAUGAUUAAUAAUAAUGGUAACAAUUAUAAUGACAAUAAUAACUAAAAAUAAUAAUAAUAAUAAUUAUGGUAAUAAUAGAAAUGGGCUCAAGACAAAGGCCCCAUCUUCAGCAUAGGCUUGGGCCUGAGCUCCAAGUUCAAACCCAAGCCCAAAGCCUUCAUAAUCCAAACCCAAUGCAAACAUUAAAAAAAAAAAAGCCCAUCUCUAUCAAGGCCCAAAUUCUAAUUCCAUCACAGCCCAUUUAUUUGAGGAAACAUGCUACCCUCCAUCAACGAACUUGGAUUGGGCUCCAACUCAAGCCCAAGGUCCAUCAUGGGCAAGCCCAAGCCGGUCACCCACGCAAACUCCAUCACAGCCCGAGGCAUCUCCCUCCAUCUGGGCAGCUUUCUCAGACGAGACCUCCACCAGCAGCGACGUAGAGGAGAGGGGAAGCGGCGGCGGUCCGACGUCGUCCAAGAGGCGUCGCCGUUGUCGCUGGUGACCAUUGCGGCUGUCCAGGCGGUCAGAGCAAGUCGAGGCGAGCCACGCCGACGUCGAGGGAGGAUCCGUUCGCGACCUCGAGGCGCGCCCGCUGCAGCUGGGGUGGCAGUGCCAUUUGGGGGUAGGCUUGGGGCGGCGGAAACUGGUGCCUGCGGAGGAGCUCACGAGGAUAGAGGAUGGCGGCGAGCAUGGGCAAUGGUGAGUUGAGAGGGGAUAGUUUUUACAGGUAUUGGAAAAUGAAGGUGAGAGUUAGGGGUGGUCUUUGCAUGGCGGGGUGUGGGGAUAUGAGUAUGGGUAUGGUUAGGUGAUGUGGAUGAACGAGAGAAAUGGUGAGGGAAUGAGGGUAAGGAUAGGUUUGGUGUGCAUGGGUGUCGCGGGUUUAGAGAGAGAAGUAGAUGCAGGGAAGGAUUGAUGAAGAAGGAGAGAGGAAUAACAUGAUUAAUGAAAGGUUCGGCAAAUAAAUCCAUAUAGAAAGCUAUAUAUCAAACAAAUCCAUGUGACUCAGUAUACAAUGAAAUCAUAUGACAAUGCUCAGGUAUCCAGAUCAGAGAUAAUUAAAACCAAUGACUGAGGAAGCAUGCAUGAGAAAGGCUCCAAGGACUCAUACCUGUGAUGCCCUUCAAGACGUCCCCCUCAAGCUUUUCCUCCUUCUCCUCUUUCUCCGAUCUCUCCUCCUUGAUAUUUUCUUUCCCGCUCUUCUUUGACAGCCCCCCUCCUACUCUCUGUCUCGCGUCCCAUCUCGCCGCCACCUAGAGCAGCCCACUUGAGAGCCCUCAGAAAAGCAACCAAAAAAUAAUGAUAAAUAAUCCCAGAAAAAAAACUCUCUCUUCGGGGGGGGUCUACACCUCGCUUUAUAGGUUCCUUAAGAAAAAAAUGAAACAUUAGUUUUUCGUUGGUCUUCCUCGAUUUACGAUCUAAUUGAAAUUCUUAUUAAAAUUUAUUGAGUUUAUUUUUAAUUUUUAAUUAUUUUUAAAAAUUACUAUGUUUAAUAAUUCAAACAAAUUAAUUCUUGCUUUGGUUUGCUUGGUUUAUAGUUUAUUUAUCUAAUAUGAAAAUUCCUAAAAAUUAUAGUUACUUGUAGAAGAGAAACAAUAGAUUAAUUGUAAAUUAAUUUUUGUGAGUUUUUAACCUUGAGUUAUUUUUUAAGAUUAAUAGACUUAUUAUUAAAUCAGUGCAUUAAAUCUUACUUAAUUUAAAAUUUAUUUAUUUAAUAAAAAAAUUAAAAAAUAUGAUUGCGUGUUUUAUUAUCGAUCAAUUUUUUAUUUAUAAAUUUUUUAUCAUUUUCUAAAUAUUUAAAUUUUAAAUUAUUUUAAAAAUUAUUUAACUCAUUAAUAAAUUCAUUAUAGUAAAUCUUACUUGAUUUAAAUUUUAUUUAUUCAAUAAGAUCGAAAAAUACAAUUAGGUCUAAAAAUUAAAACAAUUAAGUCAAUUUUAAUGCAUGACUUUUGACAUUAAUUAAAUCAAUUUAUAAGUUUUAUAUUAUUUUUAAAAACCAGUAAAAUUAUGUAUUAAUUCAUGAACUUGUUUUUUUAAUAAAAAAAUAUUAAAAAUUGUGAAAAAACUUAUAAAUAGAAUUUGGGGACCUCGACUAAAUGAUUUAUUUUUUUAAACGAUUUAUUUUAUUUUUAAAAAUAGAGAAAAAUAAUUCUUACUUAUUACUUUUUUUUUAUUUCACUUUAAUUUUUUAAAACGAUUUCAAUAAUUACCAAAUAAUAUUAUAAUUUUUUUUAAAAAAAUUGUUUUUAAAAAAUAAAAAAUUAUUUAAAAAUCAAUAGACUUUAAGACCCUUAAAUGCAUCCGAUACUUGGGGUCUGCUACAAGUCCCAUGGUUGAAUAGACCCAGGAAUCAACCAUGGUUAAAACCAGAUGUGGACUCAAACGACCCUUGGAAUCUGUUCUUGUUAACCCAGAAUUUGUGCGUUUGUUGGAUGCUUUUGAGGUUCCCAUAAUCGAUGAAGCCUUCAAUGGAAAUACAAUCAGGUCUUUCAUGGAUGAAUUGAAGGCAGUUGGGGUGGCUGUUGAUCUUAGCAGAGCAUUAAAGCUGAUAGUCACUCAAUUUAAGUCAUUCUUAUCUUCUUCCAGCCUGACUCCUUUCAAAGUGAUUUCACUACUAGAAUGCAUCAGAGAAAUGAAUGAAAAACUGCCUUCACAUUUGCAGGAACUCCAUCAAUGCUUGUUGGGGGAGAAGUGGUUAAGGACUUGUAAUGGUUACAGGACCCCCAGUGAAUCAAUACUAUUCAGCUCUAAAUGGGGAACCAUAUCUUUAUUUGUUGAUCUUCCUCUCAUUGAUGAUUCCUUUUAUGGUAUUGUCAUAUAUGGCUUUGAGGAUGAGCUAAAGAUGCUGGGGGCCAUAACUGAAUUCGAAGGAGGAGCUCCAUUUGUAGCCAGAGGUCUAACCCGACCAAUUGAACCUCGAUUUGUGACUGACUUGGGUACAAUUGCAUUGCUAGAAUGUAUCAAGUAUCUAAUCUCAAAGUCUAAGGAGCAGACAUUACUUGAUAAUUUGUUUAGCAAUUUAAUGAGAAGCAAGUCGUUGAAAACUAGGAAAGUUUACAAAAAACCUGAGGAAUGUAUCCUGUUUGAUCCAACCUGGAAAGUUAUUCUGGAGGAGACUGAUGCCCCAGUGAUUGAGCAUACAUUUUACAAAACUGAAAUAUUUAUGUACAAGAAUCAGUUGAGGGCCAUUGGAGUUAAGGUGGAUCCUGGGGAUGUAUGCUCUCUUCUGUCAAGGUAUCUUAUGUCACUUACAGAGACUUCUUCAAUUACUAGGACAUACAAUUUCCUCCACAUGUUCAAUUGGAAGCCAGAAUUGCCGGAUAAAUCAGACUAUCAGGUAUGGGUUAUUAACCACAAUGAUAACUGUGAGUGUUUAGCUAGGUUGGCAAUUCCGGACAAAAUUCCUAAGUGUCCCCUAACUCGGCUUUCCUAUUCCUAUUCGGACUACUUGACUUUGAAGACUAAGACUUUGCUAAGAGGCCAAGGUAUGUAGUCGAGUGUGUGGUGAUUGGGUGUGAAUCAACCCGGUUUUUAAUCUUUAAAUGUGUUAGAAAGUUUGGAAAAAUGGUUUUUGGUGCAAGGCUUUUAUUCGUCUGUUUCUGGAUCGAUCCAGGUGUAGGGGUGGAUCUAUCCAACUAAUGUUUUUUUGAUCAAAUCUCAGCCAUUAGAUUAAGGGUUUAUUUUUACACUUUAAAACCAAAUCUUCUAUCAUUUUCUGUGGAGAGAGACUGCUGAAAACGUGGGGAGAGCAGCCACACUCCAAGUGUUCUUCAUUUCUCAUUUUUGCUUUCCUAAGUUGGGGUUUUUGAUUGCAAAGAAAAUCCACUUCUCUUAAUGUUUUCAAAACUAGUUUUCAAUGGAUUUUCUUGAGCAAUAAAGGGGUUGAUUCAUUUCUUCAUUCACAUCUAAAUCUCUCAUUCUAUUUGGGUUGUGCAAAAACCCAUUUUCUUCUUGUGUUGAUUCAAGAAGAGGCCGAGAUUGAGCUUGGUGCGGACUCCAAGUGUGCUCCAACAGGAGAAGCUGAAAAUGAAGGUACUAGUCAAGUAUUCCGGGAAGGAUUGGUUGGCUUGAGCUAGGUAAAACCUUGUACUCAGUUUUUAUUCUUCAUAGUGGAGUUUUCAAUCGGCGAUAGGCCCGUGGUUUUUGAUAUCUUCGGAGGUUUUCCAUGUUAAAAAUCUGGUGUUCAUUGUCUCUUUCUCUCACUCUAUAUUUUGAUUUAUUUUUGAGGAGUGUUGAAGCAUUUGCAUGUGUUUUGCAUUUAUAAAUUGUUGGGAGAGUGUUGAUGCAUACAUUAUUGCUUGUGGAUGUUUUGCUUUGUUAAAAAGUUAUUGGAAGAAAAAUUUCUUGACAUUAAGAUAGUCUAAGGUUAGGUAAUCUUUGUUGGAAUGAUUUUUUAAAUUGUUCUACAACACCUAUUCACCCCCCUCUAGGUGUAGUUCAUUAUUGAGAUUCACAUUUUCAAUAACAGUGGAGAAGAAUGGGUGAAUUCUCAGCUUCGCAUACUUCAUGACAAGGACAAUCUAUUUGAUUCCCACUAGUAUGCUCUUGACAAAUGUUACCAGAAGGAACUGUUGCCCUUUUUCUCUUCAGCAUUUGCAGUUGCUGAAUUUCCUUCCAUUGAUGAUUACAUGGGGCUCUGGGACAUCUGGGUCCUGAGAGUUAAUAGUCAAGUGACUGCCAAAGGAUGCUGCUCUUUUUUGGGACUACAUUUUGAAGAACUGGAAUCCGCACACAGAGGAUAUCCUGAAGAAGAGGUUAACCAAAGUACCCCCCACCACAUCUACAAGUGAGAGAAUCCAUCUAGUGAACAAGGAACUGGUGUUUAUCCCUGACGACUUGUAAUUGAAACAUUUUUUUUUUCUAGUAUCGAUGGAAUUCCACUCUUUGUAUGGCUGCUCAAGUGCAAGAGCUUAUCUACUAUUCAUCCAAGGAGGUUCUUUGAGAUUUAUGAGUCUCUUUGGAGUAAGAAAGAUGUCUGGUUCUGUUGAGUGCCAUGCGAGUAUUUCACAUUCUUUGGAUCAAUAUAAGAUGGAUCCGAGAAAUGGAUUGAUAGGAAGAGGUCUUGUCAGUAUUUGAAAGCAGUGAACCAAUUCUAGUCAGUUAUCAAUUACUAUUGUCUGCAUACAAAACAUUGGAAGUAGAAGCAAGGAAGCUGGUUUUUUGGGACAAGAAUUCUUGUAGGCUGCUGAUUGAUAAAUCAGGUUAUGAAGAUCGAAAAUCGAAUAUUAAAUUUGUGAGUUGUUUUGCAUGUGAAAUUGCUGAAGGACUAUUGGCAUGUGUAAAAGCUGAUGCAAUCGAAAACCUGAGUAAGACAAGUGAGUAUGUUUGAGUUCAAGGAGAAAUCCAUGUUUCUUUUGCUUACAAGUGAGUAUUUGGAGCUGUUUGCGGAGGAUGAGAAGUUCCUUGAUGCUGCAUUCCUCUUGCCAAAACAGUGUCCAGUGAUAAGAUAUCUUCCCAUCUUGCCUCCAAUAGACGACAAGUCACAACUGCUGACUCAACCAAACCUCAAGGAGAGUCGGAGAAAAGUUCCAAACUAUCCAGAUCCUCCAAAGUCCAGUUCUCAACAGCUGGAGUUAUUAAGCCCACCCAUGCCAGAAUCUUCCCAGAAGAAGCCUCGACAAUGAUGGAGUUAUUAAUUCCAGGAGUUUCUGUUUAGUGAUAAAUUUUUUAAAAUUUGAGAUAAUACUUUUUUUAAUACCUCAAUUUUUUAAAAUAAUUUUGAAAGUCACCGUCUUUCAAAAUUAGUCCCAAACAUUAUCAUUUUUUCUAUUUUUAAAAAUAAAAAAUGUAUACUUGAAUUUUAUAAUAACAUAAUUGCAGAAAAACCCCUUUUUCAGAGGAUAGGAAAUUAAUGUUUGGAAUAAAAAGAAAAUAAGGAUAUUUGAAAAUCAUACUUAAAAAAGUGUUUUUUAAUAACCACAAAAACCUUUUUGUGCAAAAACAUUUAUUAAAUUUCUUAGUGCUUUAUUUUAUAAUAUCUUCUUAACCUGUUUAAUAUGCAUAUAUAUAAGAUUUAAAUUUCAUUUUGCACUAAAAUUUUUAAUUUUAUUAAAAAAUAUUAAAUUAAUUAACAGAUCCAUAAAUAACAAGUAUAUGUUGUUUUUGCAACUGACGAAGAGCUCAUACUGGAGUCCUAUUUUUGCUCAACUACUUUCCAUUUUGUCAAAACGUAAUGGAGAAUGGCUCCCCAACGUUUACUUCAUCUCCAAAUAUAAAAAUAUCGAAAAUUAUGUAUAUAUCGAUACUUCGGAUAUAUACUGACGUAUAUUUUAAAAAUAUAUAUAUAAAAUUGAUUAAAAUUUAUAAAAAUAUAAAAAAAAUUCAUAAAAAUGUACUUAGAAGUGUAAUAGAUAUUUUAAAGUUAUUUUAUUAAAGAAUUUGAUAUAUGUAUAAUAUGAUUUAUGAUAAUAAUAUCGUAUGUUUCAAUAAAAAUAUGAAUUUUAUAAAUAUACAUUUAUUAUUAAAUUACAUAAAAUAUUAUUUCAUAAUUUAUUAUGAUAUUUGAUUAUAAUAUGUCUAUAUUUUAAAAUAUAUAUAUAUAUUAAUAUUAAAAUUAUAAUUUAUUUAAUUUAAUUGUAUUAAAUGAUAUAAAAUAAAUUAUGAUAUAUGUACAUAUUUUUAAUAUUUAAUUAAUUUAUUAAUGAUAUUAAAAACACUAUAAAUAUUUAAUUAUAAAAUAAUUAUAAUUAAUUUACUUUCUAAAAUUUUCUUUACAUGAUGAAUUUGAAUGUAUAUUUUUAAUACAUUACAUCUGUAACACAUUCAACAUCAUAUAUAUUGCGAAAAAUCGGCAAUUUAUCGCCAUAUCGUAGAUUUUUGACGAUUUCUUUCAAAAUUUCAUCCUAUAUUUCUCCAUUAAAUACCGUAUUCAUACUAUCCGAUACACAAUAUACCAGCCAAUAUAUCACGAUAUUUUCUUCCAUGCUUAUUUCAACUAUAUUUUUAAAUAAAAAGAAAAUGAUAAUUAUACCAUUUUAGGUGCCGUCGGCCAAUCUACUUUACCAAUAUGAAUAUAUCAAACGUUUGCAAGCUUUAGUGCUUUACACAAACAUAAGACAAAUCUACAUUUUAUAAAAAUUUAUUCAAUAUUGUGCUUUAAUGUUCCUAUUUUUAAAAUGGAAAAAAACUAAAUUUAAUACUUAAAAUGUUUAUAUGAAUCUAAUGCUAAAUUUUUUAAUAAUAAUGUUGAAUUUUAUUAAAUAUAUUUGCUAUCUGGGUGUUCAAUGUGCUUAACUGCUUAUACCAAUAUUUGCAAGUUUUUCACCAAUAGAAAUUUAAUAAAGAUAAAUCCUAAUAGAAACUUUGUAAAAUUUCCUUCCAUAAGCAACGCUGCCAGGUCAGAGGACAUGUGGAAAACAUGUACGUUUUUUAUUUAUUUAUAUUUACUUUUUUGGAUUGUCACUGAUUCACUCUGCGACUGAGAUUUUCUGACGUGGCGUUGGGCGAGACCUCAUGGAUUAGAAGUGCAUCGCCACCUAUGCUAUCCAUUAAGGUUAAUAUGAUAAGAACGCUUGCAUUCCCCCCGGUGGGUUCUGGCCUAGAUGUGUUCGCCACUUCAUACAAUGCUAAACCGCCGCUUCGCUCCCUAGACUCCCUCUCUCUCGAGUCUGCGUCGUCUCUGUACCACACACACUUACGUCUACCUCGCAUUCUUCUUUUUCUUUUCUGCCUAUAUAUUACAUACGUACUCUGAGAUUGCUUCCUCUCAUCGGUCCCUCACUCCUUGUAACCGAAAUUAAUUUGGAGUCUUGGGGAGAAUCACUAAUCUGAAUUUUCAGGAUACCCAAUAGGUGCAACCAUGAUCAGUAGGAGGGCCUGCUUUCGCAAUUUGAUCCUAUCUCUAAGAACGGGUUCCACUGCAUCUAAGGUAAUCUUCCGCUUGUCAUUUGUUAUUUUUUAUUAUGAUUCCAAGGACCAUUUUCCGAUUUUGAUAUACUCUACUUACUUUGAACCUUUUAUAGAGUUGAAAAUUUUCCUCUGGUUUUUAUCAUUUCAUGUGACUUGUAAGUUUGUCUGGCGAACUUGUGGGGUUUCAAUUGUCUGGGUUUUUUGGUGUCGCAGGUUUGGUAUUGUAUGUGUUUUUUUGGUGCCUUCUUUUAACGUAUAGUUCUUGCUUAACACGUUGCUUUGUAGUUGAUUUCUAAUCUCUGUAUCAAUGUCCUUUCUUUUCUGUGCUUGUCUUUUAUAUUUGUUAUUAUUUUUGUUUUAACAACGUAAAACAAUAGAAAAUCUUGAUCGUAGUUGAAGAAAAGAGGGAGAUGAUUAAUUUAGGGAGAGACUAACCCGGUUGAAUUAGUUUCAGCCCUGGAAAUAGGAAUCUGACGGGGUUCUGAAUUCAACCUUUUGAAUGGUACGCAUAGCUUGGAUCAAACCCGUAGCGGGUGGAACAACCUUGUACAUGAUUGAUCCAACACUUUUAAAUGGUUAUUUUCUUUAAAUGCCGGUUAAAUUGGAGGCCUCAGUGGAUGUGACUUUUAAAUAGAAGACGAUCCACAGAUUUAUCAGAAUUUUGAUUAUUUAUUGAGAAUCAAUAUUUUCCCUUUAGAUACAUUCAAAUAUGUUGACUGGGUUUCUUGUGUAAAAUGUCAGCUAGAGGUUGUAUCAAUGAGUAUUGAAAUCACGCGCCUUUGUUUUGAUUAUAGGCUACAAUUCAUUUCCCAUGUUCCUCAAUGAUCUGUCGUUGAUCCAUCGUAUACAUAAUAAAGAUCAAGAUGAUAAAAAGUACAAACUUAUCUAAUUUUCGUGCAUUUUUGCAGCUUAGAUCUUCCAAUUGCUUUACGUCGAGGACUGCACCUUCCUUGCAGCCACUGGUCGAGCCCUCUCCUUAUAGGUAACUGCACAAAAUGAAGCAAUUUGAUACUAAUUACUUGGUUGUUUCCCUGAAGGUGUCUUCUUCCGUACAAUGAAUCCCACUUUUACCCAACCAGAAUUUGUUAAACAGUUAAUUUUCACUUCUUUGAAGCUCAAGCCCUCUCAAUUAUAAAUCUAUAUUGUUUUGGUGCCCAUAGAUUGCAAUGAUUUCAAGCAGUUUUUCAGGUUUAUUGUUUAAGCCCAACACCAAUUACCUGCAUGAGAUUGUGCAACAUUGUUCAUUUAAUGUAAUUAUAAUUGCUAUACUGCUAGUGAUGAUGAGUAUGCUGAUGUGGACUGGGACAAUCUGGGAUUUGGUCUAAUACCCACCGAUUACAUGUACACAACAAAAUGCUCCGAGGGUGGUAAUUUUGAAGAAGGCCAUCUUAGUCGCUAUGGAAAUAUCGAGUUGAGCCCUUCUGCUGGCGUGUUAAAUUAUGGACAGGUAACUAGAUUGUAUUCUUAAUUACUUCUGCUAAAGCAAACAGCAUAUUUCAUGUUGUAUCUUUUAACUAACUUCAGGGUUCUAAUGUAAAGUUGGUGGUUUUGAAAUCUGAACAGGGGCUGUUUGAAGGCACCAAAGCCUAUAGGAGAGAAAAUGGGCGCCUCUGCCUCUUCCGCCCUGAUCAGAAUGCCAUCCGUAUGCAGGUUGGUGCAGAAAGGAUGUGCAUGCCUUCCCCGUCCAUCCAUCAUUUUGUAGAAGCUGUGAAGCAAACCGCUCUCGCUAACAAGCGCUGGGUAAUUGUUUUACCCUGAUUGUUCUAAUCUAUGUUGCAUCAGAAGCUCUAUGCGUUCAUUUAAUGAUUAUGUCUUUUCUACUGGUUUAUAAAUUUUUUGUUUUGUUUUGAUGUGGAGCAGAUUCCUCCUCCAGGGAAAGGGUCACUGUAUAUUAGACCUUUGCUCAUGGGAAGUGGACCCGUAUUGGGUUUAGGCCCAGCACCUGAAUGCACAUUCCUCAUAUAUGCUUCCCCUGUUGGCAACUAUUUCAAGGUGGGGUUUCUUAUUUUAUCAAAGCCUGGUUUUGGUUCGGCUCAGAAAAGAAGAACUUAUAUGCUCUGUUGAUUCAUUUUGUAGCAGGUUUCGGCACCAUUGAACCUAUUUAUUGACGAUGAGUAUCAUCGUGCAACUCGUGGAGGGGCUGGAGGGGUAAAAGCCAUUACCAACUAUUCUCCUGUAAGUGAAUCAUUGUCUCAUUUAGUUGUAGAAGAAGCUCAUUGGUUUCAACACCUUGAAUGCCACAAAAUAUGCUCAUUUUCAAAAAAUGACUUGUGUCUAAAGUGUUAGGUUAAUAGGUUGUAGCAUCGAAUAUAGUUUCUAUGGAAUGUAAAUUAUUUCUUAUAUACGAAAGUGGCUACUAGUGCUUGCUACCAAAUUAUUGAUGCCCCCCUCGAAACUAUGUUAUCUAUUACAUCACAUCCUUUCUUGUCUUGUGUAGGUUUUGAAAGCACAAAGUAGAGCAAAGAGUAGAGGGUUCUCUGAUGUGCUAUUCCUUGAUUCAGUGAAUAAGAAAAACAUCGAGGAGGUCUCUUCUUGUAACAUCUUCAUUGUGAAGGUACUGUUGAAAUUACAUUUCUCAUUGAUUUAAUUUUUCUCAUCUGGUGCCUAAUUGUUAUCUUCACUGAAUGUAACUCUAACAAAGAAGUGAAAACAUAAGUGAUUAGCAGCUUAGAUUGUUCAAAACAACUUGGGCAGAGAAUUUUGAAACACAUAUCCUUCAGUUUAUUCCCUGCCAUUGUAUUUCUCUCGAAAUUGGAUAGAUAUAGAGGCAGAGCUUAGAGUGUACUUUUCCACCAUUUCAGGAUAAUGUUAUUUCAACUCCAGCUACAGGAGGAACUAUUCUUGAAGGAGUGACUCGAAAAAGCAUUAUUGACAUUGCUCUUGAUCAUGGUUACCAGGUGAAUGUCCAGUAACUUGGUAAAAACAAGAAGCCAGUUUCUGUGCUUAUAUGUUCUGACAAUUUCCCAAAUGGGUUAGGUUAAGGAGCGAUGUAUUCCGGUGGAGGAAGUGAUGGAAGCCGAUGAAGUUUUCUGCACCGGAACCGCUGUUGGUGUAGCUGCGGUGGGAAGUAUUACAUAUCAAGGCAAAAGGUAAAUAGCCAUACUUAAGAUCAUGAAGAACCUCUGCAAGAAGGGAAAUAUUAAGUCCAUACUUAGUGUUGCAUGCCAAUCAUUUUCCUUUGUUGAUGAAUUAAAUAUUAAUGCGCAGGGUGGAAUACAAAUCGGGUGAUCGGUGUGUGAGUCAGGAACUGUUGUCAAUGUAUACGGGGAUUCAAAAAGGUCAUAUUGAGGACAAGAAGGGCUGGAUUCUGGAGAUUGACUAAGCUUUACAUCCACCUCACAUUCAGUGCACCCAACACUUGUACAUCGUGCUGCUAAGAGCAUGGUAUUCCAUAUUCCUAAUAAAAUUGAUGUUUAGACCAAAAGCAUGGACAUCUAAAUUGGGUUUCGUCUUUGUGAAUCCUUACCCCCCUCCGAAACUAUAUCCCAUUCAACCUUACUUUCCCUCCUAUAAUCCUAUCACUUAUCCUUAACUCCCCUGCCUCCACAGGCCCACCCACUCUUCCACAUUUUAAUAACUAAUAUAAGUUCAAAUUCACAUCAUUCAAUAUGGCAACUGGCGCUAGCAAAAAGUCAUGUCUAUAAUAAGAGUAUAUAUUAUGGAGCCAUCUCUAGUAGGAGUCUGGAUCAAAGUUGUGUCUUCAUGUUAUUGAAAAAUGAUUUUCAAAAAAUGAAAUCACAUUCUAAAAAAUCAAUUGCCAAGUAAAAAUCAUGAUUUUAAAAAUAAAAAUUAUGAUUUAAGAAAAUGAUUUUCAUGGAAGUGACCUCGUGGGAUGAAAGAGCUUUAAAAACCUCUUCCACAGGUUAUGGUUCAGCGUUACAAGUAUUUUGUAAUUGUUCUUAAAGAUAGUUUUUGCUUUCAUUAGAGACGAAGGAUUGAGAAAAAAAUUAGAGAGGAAGGAAAAAAGCAAAUAAAUGAAAAAUUGAUUUAAAAUUUUGUCUUAAUUUUUUUUAAAAUAAAAAUUAUUUUGAAAUCCCACGUAAAACAGGCCCUAAAAGUCUCUUCGCCAAAAUGCAAAACUUUAAAAAUAAUUGAACGUGCGAAAGUUUUUUAUUUUGUAAAAGCAUUAAAUGACAUCUAGGUCUGCCCCGAUCUUCCUUCAUCUACCGCGCUCUGGGUUGUCACAUCGCAUGACAUCACACAAAAUCGAUCAAGCUCCAUAUUCUCUCUAAACCUUUUCAAAAGUAUCAAAACUAGAUCUUAUAUGCUUUCAUGCGUCUCUAUUGCCGCGCAAACUAGGGAUGGCAACGGGCCCCGCCCCGUUUAACUUUUUUAUUUUUAUUUUUAUUUUUUAAUUACUUUUAAAUUUGUUAAUUACAUUAAAUUAAAAUAUAUUUUAUAAAUAAUUAAAUUAUUAUAUAUUUUUAUCUUAUUUUAUUAAUUUAUAAAUUAAAAAUAAUAAAAUAAAUUUUAAUUUAAUUUAAUUUUAUAAAUAAUCAGAUGAGAUGAGAAAUACAAAACAGUACUCGAACUCACCUGAAUCUGAAUAACUCCGUCUGAAUCCGAAUAAGUCCGUCCCAUUAUCAUUCUUACUAAAGGGAAAUGGAUUAAGUCAAGGGAUUUGCAUGACCUAGAAAUUUAAGCGACGGGCAUCAAAGAAUUCCAAAACUUCAAAGCAUUUUCAUCGUACAUUAAUUCAAUUAAAUGUAGAACAUAAAUAAUUUUGUAAAAUAUAUAAAAGAAAGUAAGAGGUUUAGUACGAAGCUGAAUUCCUAAUAAAUACAAAACUGUAUGAAAUCAUUGCGUGAUGGCCUGAGUCUGGGGCUAGGACGAUAGGUAGCCCAGCAGUCAGGCCUAGCAAUGGGGAAGGCGGCUUCUAGUACUUGUACGGUCAACCCCAAAAGGCCUUUCCUGCGGGUUCAGGCAUAGAGAAGACGAAGAAGAAGCAGGGUUGCGUGUUUCGUCAUGCCUUGGAAGAAAGUCUCCUUUAGCUAUCAACGUAAAGGGAAGCGGAAGGGCAUGGCUACUCUGAAGAAGGAAAUGCCCAUAGAAAAGACGUCUAUCAUGGCUACUGAAGCAGCAAGGCUGCACAUAGAAAAGAUUAGGACCCAGAAGUUCUCAAUCGGUGCUAAAAGCCCUAAUCCUUUAACUGAAGAUCUCCACCAUGCUGUCACAAGCCUCUCCGCGGAGCUUUACGCCAAAGAUGUUCAUUUUCUCAUGGAGCUCAUUCAGGUACAUAUUUCCCUUCCCGAUGAAUACCUUUAUCAGAAGUAUCUGUAUAUAUACGACCUGCCCUAGAUGAAAGCGUGUUCUUGGUUUCUUGGUGUCCGCUAAAAAUGUAGAAUGCCGAAGACAACGAAUAUAAACAAGGGGUUGAACCAACUUUGGAGUUUGUGUUCACUACCAAAGACAUAACAGGAAGUGGUGCGCCUGCAACGCUGCUAGUGUUCAACAAUGAAGUUGGGUUUUCGGAGAAGAACAUGGAAUCCAUCUGCAGUGUUGGCAGAUCCACCAAGAAAGGGAAGAGACACCUUGGGUUUAUUGGAGAGAAAGGUACUUAUGUCUACUGUCUUGCAUGAAUGGUGUAUUUACUUUACUAGAAUAUAUAAGUCGGUUUUUUUGCAUGAAUAGAAGUGGAUCUAGUCACAAGGAUUUUUAUGAAGAUUUUCUAUGGUAGGAAUAAAGUGGUUGCUUGAAGAGACUUCAACAGUUUAGCAAAACUAUGAAAAAGUUGUGCACGCUAAUUUUGAUAAACAGAGUGCAUCCCAAGAUGUGGGAAGUUGGCAGGCUUGGGCCGAGCAUGACUGCUCUAAGUGGAGACUUUGCCCACCCAAAGCGUAUUUUAACCCAAACCUUGGGCAAACCCAUCAUUUCUAAAUGCAUCAGUUGCUAUUUAGAUUCUUGAUUAAACUUUUGGUCAUUAAGUUCAUCCAUAAGUAAAUUCUGAUUUUAUUUGCAGGCAUUGGAUUUAAGAGUGUGUUUCUUGUGACUAUACAACCUCACAUCUUUAGUAAUGGAUAUCAUGUGAGAUUUAGCGAAGAUCCCGACCAAGAUUGCGGAAUUGGUUAUAUAGUUCCUGAAUGGGUUGGUGGGAAACCUUAUCUUUCAACUAUUUGUGAUAUAUAUGGGUCCGACAAGGUCUUGCCAACGACCAUAAUUCUCCUCCCUCUGAAACCCGAGAAGGUGGAAGCUGUGAAAGCACAACUGUCAGAGUUGCACCCAGAGCUUCUCCUCUUCCUAUCCAAGAUAAAGCGGUUAUCAGUAUGUGGAAAUACUUGCAAUUCUAAAGAAGAUGUCAACGUAUCUGAUAUUUUCAUAUCCACUGAGACUGAUCAUGUGGCUUUGAGUGACAAAAGUGCAGAUUCACGUGUACUUCAUCUUUCAGUUAAAGAGGAUGGGGCUGAGGAGACAUGCCGAUAUUAUAUAUGGAGAGAAACAUUUCCUGUGAAGCCUGCUAAUGAGUUUAGUGCGAGGAACGAUGUAAAGAAAUGUGUUAUUUCUAUUGCUUUUCCAUUUGGGGAGAGAUUGAAAAGGGGAACUUCUGCUGUUGGUAUCUUUGCCUUCCUUCCCACCGCAAUGAUCACAAAUUUCCCAUUUGUUAUUCAGGCAGAUUUUGUUCUGGCCUCCUCGCGCGAAACAAUACUCUUGGACAACAAGUGGAACCUGGGGAUUCUUGAAUGUAUCCCUUCUGCAUUUUUUCAUGCUUUUAUUUCUUGUGUGAAAAAAGAUGCCACUACUAUUUGUUCAGUGGCGCAGGCAUUUGAAUUUUUGCCUGCUCGGUCUUCUACAAUUCUUGAGCUGAACAACAUAAGAA
RNAcentral lists this long non-coding RNA (29353 nucleotides) under Vitis vinifera (wine grape). RNAcentral's name for it is "long non-coding RNA (VVIN_LNC005980)". The record is from RNAcentral. Lineage: Eukaryota; Viridiplantae; Streptophyta; Magnoliopsida; Vitales; Vitaceae.